RNAcentral lists this transfer RNA (62 nucleotides) under Andrena dorsata. Its description in RNAcentral is "tRNA-Ala". The record is from RNAcentral. Lineage: Eukaryota; Metazoa; Arthropoda; Insecta; Hymenoptera; Andrenidae.
AGGAUAUUAGUUAAAAAAUAACAAUUAAAUUGCAUUUAAUAAUUAAACAAAUUUAUAUCUUA